Molecule: ribosomal RNA, 429 nt
Filed under: uncultured Alphaproteobacteria bacterium
Lineage: Bacteria; Pseudomonadati; Pseudomonadota; Alphaproteobacteria
Description: bacterial SSU rRNA
Rfam family: Bacterial small subunit ribosomal RNA
Source: RNAcentral
AACGCGAAGAACCUUACCAGCCUUUGACAUGUCCGGUAUGGUCGUCAGAGAUGACUUCCUUCCCGCAAGGGGCCGGAACACAGGUGCUGCAUGGCUGUCGUCAGCUCGUGUCGUGAGAUGUUGGGUUAAGUCCCGCAACGAGCGCAACCCUCGCCCUUAGUUGCCAUCAUUUAGUUGGGCACUCUAAGGGGACUGCCGGUGAUAAGCCGCGAGGAAGGUGGGGAUGACGUCAAGUCCUCAUGGCCCUUACAGGCUGGGCUACACACGUGCUACAAUGGCGGUGACAAUGGGAUGCAAUGGAGUAAUCCUGCGCAAAUCUCAAAAAGCCGUCUCAGUUCGGAUUGUGCUCUGCAACUCGAGCACAUGAAGUUGGAAUCGCUAGUAAUCGCAGAUCAGCACGCUGCGGUGAAUACGUUCCCGGGCCUUGUA